AGAGUUUGAUCCUGGCUCAGGACGAACGCGGGCGGCGUGCCUAACACAUGCAAGUCGAGCGGGGAUAUAUGCUGGAGCGCUUCGGUGUGAAGGGAUAUAUCCUAGCGGCGGACGGGUGAGUAACGCGUGGGGAACCUGCCCUUAAGUUCGGGAUACCAACUCGAAAGGGUUGUUAAUACGGAUGUGCUGCAUUAGCCGCAUGGCGGAUGUAGUAAAGGGGAGACCCGCUUAAGGAUGGCCCUGCGUUCCAUUAGCUAGUUGGUGGGGUAACGGCCUACCAAGGCGACGAUGGAUAGCCGGCCUGAGAGGGCGACCGGCCACACUGGGACUGAGACACGGCCCAGACUCCUACGGGGGGCAGCAGUGGGGAAUCUUGCACAAUGGGCGGAAGCCUGAUGCAGCGACGCCGCGUGAGGGACGAAGGUCUUCGGAUCGUAAACCUCUGUCCAAAGGGACGAAGGAGUGACGGUACCUUUGGAGGAAGCCCCGGCCAACUACGUGCCAGCAGCCGCGGUAAGACGUAGGGGGCGAGCGUUGUCCGGAAUCAUUGGGCGUAAAGGGCGCGUAGGCGGUGACGUAAGUCAGGCGUGAAAGGCAUCGGCUCAACCGACGCACAUAGCCUGAUACUACGUUGCUAGAGUGCAGGAGAGGAGAGUGGAAUUCCAGGUGUAGCGGUGAAAUGCGUAGAUAUCUGGAAGAACACCAGUGGCGAAGGCGGCUCUCUGGACUGUAACUGACGCUGAGGCGCGAAAGCUGGGGGAGCAAACAGGAUUAGAUACCCUGGUAGUCCCAGCCGUAAACGAUGAACACUAGGUGUAGGGGGUAUCGACCCCUCCUGUGCCGCAGUUAACGCAGUAAGUGUUCCGCCUGGGGAGUACGGCCGCAAGGCUGAAACUCAAAGGAAUUGACGG
RNAcentral lists this ribosomal RNA (911 nucleotides) under uncultured bacterium. RNAcentral describes it as "bacterial SSU rRNA". It matches the Rfam family "Bacterial small subunit ribosomal RNA", at positions 8 to 916 of the family's 1533-position model. The record is from RNAcentral.